GGCACAAGUAAUACUUUAAUUCCAGCUUAUUCUUUACAUAAUAGCUUACACCCUCACUUAACCAAAUAAUAGAUAGUAGGCCAAGUGUUCAACCACGUGCAUAUGCACAUGUAUUGAUAGCACUUCCUCUUAUUCUUCACUGACUUUAUUUAAGGAUUAAACAAAGACUGCUAAUUUUGACACCCUGGCCUAGGCGUCGACUUAUUCCUCAUGCUCCUCUAACUCCUCACCAUGCCCACUUCCCGCGCACUCUGUGCAUAUCAGAGGAAAAAGGAAAACAAUAGUGAGUAUGUUGGGACAUACUCAGCAAGAAUAUAAGAAUGCAAGAAUUAGUAGGUUGCAAGUUGAAUGUGCAUAAGGUAAAGAUGCUUCAGCCUCCUGUUACCUUACAGGAGCAGGAUGGAAUUAUACCGGCGCAAACCUAUAGCAAUAAUCUCUGCAGAGACAUACUAAUAACCGUCGUAAUCUCCACCAAUGGUAAUACCUAUCUCCGGGAAUCACGACGCCGAGUCCCCUACUUGUGUGAGGUAUCUUCCAUCUCACACUAGUACCGACUAAAUUAGCCGCGUACCGUUAUUUCAGGUAUCGACCGCCCCGGGCUUGAUAUACCACACUUACCAUGAUCACGACGGUGUACGUUCUUAGAUUAUUCAAACAUCAUCGUUCGAUCAAUCCGUCAACCAUGCACGCAUGGUUCUCACAGGCAUAAUAAUUACCAGCUCAUCACUUAUAUUCAUAUGUAAAAACAUUAAUGCUAGUAACCAAUUAAUUUGUUAACAUAUAUUAAAAGUUCAGUUUGAGAGAGAAGACUGAUAUGCACAGUCUUGCCUUGCAGCGGUUCCUCCUCGGCUAAAUCUGAGCUCCAACCUAAGCAUGUUACAAACGCCCAUCAGCUUAUUAUUUCAUGUGACUUGCAAGUGGCAACAUGGACAUGAGCAGCUAUAUGCAGUACCAGUACAGGGAUGUAACAAGUCGCUCUAUAGUACUUGGCUAUGCUAGAGUGAGGCGUGCACAUCCCACUUUAACCUCAGUACUGUUCCCAGCUAUUAAAUUUGAAAAAUACAACCACCUGCAUGCAUGCUAGCUAGCCGUGAAGAUUAUUUCUUUACACAGGAGAUGUACGCAUGCAUGGGUCCUGUAGUACUAGUACUACUCGUUCCCAGUCUUUCUUACCAACUAGUACUAGUUGUUCCUUCUUAAGCCAGCGAAUAAAUUCAUCAGUGUAACAAAGCAUGGAUCAAUAGAAUGGAAUCAGUCUGAUGCAACUUCCAGUAUUUUAGAAUCUUUUCGUUCAUUUACCCAUAACACCACAUCUUCCGUUAAGCAAGAAUAUCAGCUCAAGUGUGGAAAUCGAUGGAAAGAAAACAGGAACAUGUAGUAGGAGAGGAGAGAUGCUACAGCUAGCUACCCUCAAGAAUCUUAGAUGACUUCAUGAGACAAGACGAGGAACAGGGCGUUGGCUAAAGCUAGCAGCCAUACCUCCUUGUCCUCAAUUUCUCCGCAGCUUCUCCGAUCGGUCGCUCGCUCUCCGCUGACUGCUUCCAACUAAAGUGGGGAA
Molecule: long non-coding RNA, 1558 nt
Filed under: Triticum aestivum (bread wheat)
Lineage: Eukaryota; Viridiplantae; Streptophyta; Magnoliopsida; Poales; Poaceae
Description: long non-coding RNA (TAES_LNC002585)
Source: RNAcentral